This 253-nucleotide ribosomal RNA is filed under the name uncultured bacterium. RNAcentral describes it as "partial 16S ribosomal RNA". It matches the Rfam family "Bacterial small subunit ribosomal RNA", at positions 524 to 776 of the family's 1533-position model. The record is from RNAcentral.
UACAGAGGUCUCAAGCGUUGUUCGGAUUCAUUGGGCGUAAAGGGUGCGUAGGCGGCGCGGUAAGUCGGGUGUGAAAUCUCGGGGCUUAACUCCGAAACUGCAUUCGAUACUGCCGUGCUUGAGGACUGGAGAGGAGACUGGAAUUUACGGUGUAGCAGUGAAAUGCGUAGAGAUCAUGAGGAAGACCAGUGGCGAAGGCGGGUCUCUGGACAGUUCCUGACACUGAGGCACGAAGGCCAGGGGAGCAAACGGG